This 111-nucleotide non-coding RNA is filed under the name Saccharomonospora viridis. RNAcentral describes it as "TPP sequence". It matches the Rfam family "TPP riboswitch aptamer (THI element)". From Rfam's summary of the family: Vitamin B(1) in its active form thiamin pyrophosphate (TPP) is an essential coenzyme that is synthesised by coupling of pyrimidine and thiazole moieties in bacteria. The previously detected thiamin-regulatory element, thi box was extended, resulting in a new, highly conserved RNA secondary structure, the THI element, which is widely distributed in eubacteria and also occurs in some archaea. Lineage: Bacteria; Bacillati; Actinomycetota; Actinomycetes; Pseudonocardiales; Pseudonocardiaceae. RNAcentral also lists the same sequence under 1 other name. The record is from RNAcentral.
GCACGCUGCCACGGGAGUCCGGCACACCGGACUGAGAGGUGGGCGUGUGGCCCACGACCGUUCGCACCUGAUUCGGAUCAUGCCGACGCAGGAAGGUGAUCAGCCCUCCUG